Molecule: non-coding RNA, 22 nt
Filed under: Arabidopsis thaliana (thale cress)
Lineage: Eukaryota; Viridiplantae; Streptophyta; Magnoliopsida; Brassicales; Brassicaceae
Source: RNAcentral
UCAUCGAACACUUUUUGGGCGC